This 25-nucleotide non-coding RNA is filed under the name Arabidopsis thaliana (thale cress). Lineage: Eukaryota; Viridiplantae; Streptophyta; Magnoliopsida; Brassicales; Brassicaceae. The record is from RNAcentral.
CAAGUCUACAAGGUGUCAAGGUACA